RNAcentral lists this transfer RNA (68 nucleotides) under Marmota monax (woodchuck). RNAcentral describes it as "tRNA.Ala". The record is from RNAcentral. Lineage: Eukaryota; Metazoa; Chordata; Mammalia; Rodentia; Sciuridae.
GGAUUGUGGCUCAGCGGUAGAGCACUCACCUAGCAUGUGCGAGGCGCUGGGAUCAAACCUCAGCGCCA